UGGUGGCGAGUGGCGAACGGGUGAGUAAUGCAUCGGAACGUACCAGUCGUGGGGAUAACGCAGCGAAAGUUGUGCUAAUACCGCAUACGACCCGAGGGUGAAAGCGGGGGACCGUAAGGCCUCGCGCGAUUGGAGCGGCCGAUGUCUGAUUAGCUAGUUGGUGGGGUAAAGGCCCACCAAGGCGACGAUCAGUAGCGGGUCUGAGAGGAUGAUCCGCCACACUGGGACUGAGACACGGCCCAGACUCCUACGGGAGGCAGCAGUGGGGAAUUUUGGACAAUGGGGGCAACCCUGAUCCAGCCAUGCCGCGUGCGGGAAGAAGGCCUUCGGGUUGUAAACCGCUUUCGGACGGAAAGAAAUCGCAUGGACUAAUACUCUGUGUGGAUGACGGUACCGUAAGAAGAAGCACCGGCUAACUACCGUGCCAGCUAGCCGCGGUAAUACGUAGGGUGCGUAGCGUUAAUCGGAAUUACUGGCGUAA
This 481-nucleotide ribosomal RNA is filed under the name uncultured bacterium. RNAcentral describes it as "bacterial SSU rRNA". It matches the Rfam family "Bacterial small subunit ribosomal RNA", at positions 86 to 563 of the family's 1533-position model. The record is from RNAcentral.